CUUUAGCUCCUCUAAGUGUUGGCUCGCCGGGUAUCAGAAGGAAUUGUUUACUCCAAGGCUUGGGUGAGGCUUCAAUAAAAUCACUUUUUCUGAAGCAACUCAGAAUCGGCUUACUACACGUAACUGGAAAUAGUCUUUUCUACACGCAUUAGACAUCGCGAAUACUCACAAUGAUGGGGUGUUUGUGGAGCUGAUAUCAGUUGUUGGAUCAGAAAGAGUGAUGGGAGCUAAAGAAACCUGAGAUGGAGAAGGCAUGGCCCAGACAAGGCAGGGGGUGCCAAGAGGGAGCUCCUGUCCAGGACACAACCGAGAGGAAGAGAGAGAUCUCCCAAAGACCAUUUAACAGCACUCUUCAUUUCAGAAAGAAGGUCACGGGCCGAUAACUUCAGGGACACCAGACCGGGUUGCUGAGCCACUUGAUGCCAGCUUUGGCCAUAAGUUUGCAGAAGAAAAGAAAUGCAAGACCUUCACCACUUUUGAUCCUUAUCACAUACCCCGGACUGAGAGCCCCAUGUAUGAAUUCUUCCCUGAUCCCUCUAGGAGGGUGGCACAGUUCUUGAGGCGUUAGCCUACUGUGUCUUCCCUUUGCCUGGCAAAGAAAAUAAAAAGCCUCUCUAUUUCUUA
This is a long non-coding RNA of Lagenorhynchus albirostris (white-beaked dolphin), 624 nucleotides long. RefSeq lists it as uncharacterized. The record is from RefSeq and is a predicted model, not a curated record. Lineage: Eukaryota; Metazoa; Chordata; Mammalia; Artiodactyla; Delphinidae. The transcript has 3 exons.